GUAAGGAUUCCCGUCCCCUCGGUUCUUAGAAGGGGAAGUGACUAAUUAAGGUUCAUGUCACCCGUACACUGCAACCUCUCCUCUGCCCAAUUUCAGCAUCACCCUGACAUGCCGGUGACACACACCAGCACUCUGCCCUCCUCUGCUACACAACACUGCGGGAACAGCACAGGAGCAGUACAGCACAAUGUCAAAUAUCUCCUGUUUGCUAAGGGGUUUGCAUAUUGAUUGUUUAAUUUCUCCAUUAUCUUUCAUGCAAGAAAUCAUGCUGUCCACUUGCUUCCAUGGUAGAAGACACAGGGUGUAGUCCUGUACAUCCAAAUGUACCCCAUCAUGCCAGGAUCCUGUUUUUAUUUCUAAUUUCACAGUUUCUUCAUUAGCAUUUGUCUCAGCAUACAAACUGUAACACCUCCCCCACCCGCCUCGUCUUAUUCUUAGUCCCGUUGUGGGUUCUGUGCCUGUAGAAUUUCCAGCGCAGUGAGAUCUGGUCAACGACUGAGGAGAUGAGCGUUACGGUGCCAGGCCUCCUGCCUUUUCCUCUCCAAGACUGGAAUUCUGGAAUUGUCCUGCUCCUAGACUAGACUGGGGCUACCACGUCCUGAGUAUCAGCUGUGCUUACCAGCGCAGCCUGGCACAAAUAGGCACUUCCUUGGUUAUAUCUGUGACCCUCCCAGCAUCCCAGGGCAAGAUGGGGAAGGGGCUCCAUGGUAUCUGAUAGGAGUUUCAGUAGGCCUGCCCCCAGCUCACUAAUGUCUUCACCUGUCUUGGAAAGGUGACAUGUAAGGUAUCACCAGAAAGCUACUGACAUGAUGUUCGUUAAUAAUGUUGCAUGGUGUAUGUAUGGAGGACAAAGGCAAGAUUACAGAUAGCUGGGGAAUGAUGUUCUUAAAGCGUGUCUGCCAGCCAGGGCAGAAGUUACCCCACCCUAGAUGAAGGCAGGUGGUUCUGCCACCUUGAAGGCACUUUCAGGGUACUUUAAGAGACAAUGGGAAUGCAAUUUAUAUAAACGAUAAACAAACCUAUCAUACAAACAAGGGUGCAGCGCUAACCACUCAGCAUCAUGGCAGGGAAGGAUAUCUUAGGACCAGACCAAAUUCCAUUUUAGCAAACACCAGCAUGGGGAGAAACCAGCAUGGAACUUCCUUCAUCGCUAGACUCCAGGCCUCCUUCCUCGCAGCUUGAAUGAAUGUUACUUUGGAGGGGAACUUCGAGAAAGGUUCACUGAACUACACAAAAGAGGCAGAGAACUCCAAGUUAUCUUCCAUUUAAGAUGACAAAGGACCCAAGCCCUUUGGACUUUGGGGGAGAGACUGAGCAAGGGGUGGUCUGCUCUCUUAGUGGAAAGUAGCAUGAUCAGAAGCUUCCCUUGGACCGGGACUGCAGUUUUAUUAGAUGAUAAUCUCCAGAAAUCAUUGUCCACUUCCACUUCCUGGUAGCCAUUUCUAUCUCCGUUAUUUAUACCUGAACUCACUUUAAAUGCUUUUGUUAGAUUAAACGUUUAGUAAAUGAA
Chelonoidis abingdonii (Abingdon island giant tortoise) is the source of this 1510-nucleotide non-coding RNA. Lineage: Eukaryota; Metazoa; Chordata; Testudines; Testudinidae. The record is from RefSeq and is a predicted model, not a curated record.